Molecule: ribosomal RNA, 424 nt
Filed under: Heloecius cordiformis
Lineage: Eukaryota; Metazoa; Arthropoda; Malacostraca; Decapoda
Also listed under: 1 other name
Description: partial 16S ribosomal RNA
Rfam family: Archaeal large subunit ribosomal RNA
Source: RNAcentral
CCGCGGUAUCCUGACCGUGCAAAGGUAGCAUAAUCGUUAGUUCCUUAAUUGGGAUCUUGUAUGAAUGGUUAGACAAAAGAAAACCUGUCUCUGUAUUAAAAUUGAAUUUAACUUUUAAGUGAAAAGGCUUAAAUAAAUUAAAGGGACGAUAAGACCCUAUAAAGCUUUAUAAAUAUAUUGUUAUUUAAUUUAAUUUUUAAUAAUAAAAUUUAAUAACAAAUUUAUUUUGUUGGGGUGACAAAAGUAAAAUUAUUAGUAACUGCUUGAAUUUAAAUACAAAUGAUAGUUGAGUUGGUGGUUUUAAAAGAUCCUAAAUAAAGAUUAUAAGUUUAAGUUACUUUAGGGAUAACAGCGUUAUUUUUUUUGAGAGUACAUAUCGAAAAAAAAGUUUGCGACCUCGAUGUUGAAUUAAAAUUUCUUUAUA